RNAcentral lists this ribosomal RNA (468 nucleotides) under uncultured bacterium. RNAcentral's name for it is "partial 16S ribosomal RNA". It matches the Rfam family "Bacterial small subunit ribosomal RNA", at positions 28 to 507 of the family's 1533-position model. The record is from RNAcentral.
GACGAACGCUGGCGGCGUGCUUAACACAUGCAAGUCGAACGGAAAGGCCCUGCUUUUGUGGGGUGCUCGAGUGGCGAACGGGUGAGUAACACGUGAGUAACCUGCCCUUGACUUUGGGAUAACUUCAGGAAACUGGGGCUAAUACCGGAUAGGAGCUCCUGCUGCAUGGUGGGGGUUGGAAAGUUUCGGCGGGUGGGGAUGGACUCGCGGCUCAUCAGCUUGUUGGUGGGGUAGUGGCUUACCAAGGCUUUGACGGGUAGCCGGCCUGAGAGGGUGACCGGGCACAUUGGGACUGAGAUACGGCGCAGACGCGUACGGGAGGCAGCAGUGGGGAGUAUUGCACAGUGGGGGGAAGCCUGAUGCAGCAACGCCGGGUGCGGGAUGACGGCCUUCGGGUUGUAAACCGCUUUAGCCUGUGACGAAGCGUGAGUGACGGUAAUGGGUAAAGAAGCACCGGCUAACUACGUG